UGGCAGACAGGUUACAGGUCACAGGUUCCUGUGCAUCUGGCAGAGGCCAUAGCAGUUGCUGUCCAGCAUCAAACAAAUGCUGUCCUGCUUUAGCAAUGAGUUGGGAAGACGUUCCAUUGAGUAAAAUGAAUCUGCACUUUAAAUUCUACUGGAUGUGGAAGAGAGAAUUGGCACCAAGCAAGAGCAAGGAACCAGACAUCAGUUACGGAAAAUGUAUCCCCACAUCACAUCAUGGGAGCCUAGCUCACAGACACUGCCAAUGGAAAUUGCAGAAAUAGAUCAACUGCAAAAGGUUACAUAGGGGACCCGCAUGCUACAUUAACU
Molecule: long non-coding RNA, 324 nt
Filed under: Homo sapiens (human)
Lineage: Eukaryota; Metazoa; Chordata; Mammalia; Primates; Hominidae
Description: HSALNT0161500
Source: RNAcentral